This 328-nucleotide long non-coding RNA is filed under the name Mytilus galloprovincialis (Mediterranean mussel). The record is from RNAcentral. Lineage: Eukaryota; Metazoa; Mollusca; Bivalvia; Mytilida; Mytilidae.
UUUUUUGUGAUUAAAAGUUCAACAUUAGUAUGAAAAGGUUACAAAAUAUAGUUCUACUAUUCUCUCCUUUGAGUUGAUACAGUAAGUUUGAUAACUUUUUACCUUGAAAUCAUGACUGAAUAUUAUAGGAGGGACAAAUUGCCCGCCACCAACACCUUCUCUCUUUGAUAUAUAAACAAUCAUAAACAGUUAGCAAAUGCAGACUUGGAGUUCUGCAUAAAUUACAUUAACAAAAAUUAAUUGAUAGAUGCAUUGAAAGGUAUGUUAUUGUACAGUGUAUUUGAGUCCAUAUUCCGUAAAUUGUUCAUUGCAUUUAAUGUACAUAAUG